Long non-coding RNA from Marmota flaviventris (yellow-bellied marmot), 1308 nucleotides. RefSeq lists it as uncharacterized. NCBI's taxonomy places the organism in Eukaryota, Metazoa, Chordata, Mammalia, Rodentia, Sciuridae. The record is from RefSeq and is a predicted model, not a curated record.
GCUUUAUUCCAAGUGAACCCUGUACACACUUAUGUCCCGGCCUUUUCUUCCUUGCUUUGGCAGGGACACCAUUCUUCCUUCCCUUCCUUCCCCUGUUCUCCCUUCUGUUUCUUUUGAGGUUCCUCUUUCUCUGCCAUUAAGUAUUAUAGUCCCUCAAGACUCAGUCCAGGCCCACUUCUUUUCCCACUCUGAAUUCUCUCCCUAGGUGAGCUCAUCCAAGCCCAUGACUUCAAUUCCUUCCCACCUGUACACACUUCAUGCUUUACCCCAGAGCCACACGUGUUCCCUUGCUCCAAUGGCCUAGUGACAUCUCCACUCACAUGUCCUAGUGCAACAUGAUGAAAAGUGAGCCCAGAGUCUCCUAACUCUACACUACCUUCCAGGUCUCUUCUGAUAUUUCUUAUCUCAUUGGACACCACUAUUCAGUUAAGUAAGGCAGAAACACCACCCUGAGUGAAUCCUUCUUCCUCUCUCCAUAUGCAGUGGAGAUGCACCAAGAUCUUAGGCAUCAGUGUUUUUGGAUCUGUCCGCUUUGUCCGUUCAUGACCAUCAAUCCAGGUCAAGAUACUGUCAUCUCUUGCUUGGACUACAAAUGGGCCCAAAGCCCUAAUUCUUUCCCUUGAAUUGAUUCCAGCUCCCAAGUAAUCAAAGCAGGUCUUUAUCCAAAGGCUGGCUGAAUCAUUCAUCCCCUGCCCCUCGCCUGUGCCUCCAUCCUCUCUGAUGUUUGUCUCUAUUGUGAUACCCGAGGACAGUUAAAAUCCCAAGAUUCAUAUGGUGCUCCCAUUUCCAGAGCCCCUUUGUUCACAUUAUUAUCUCAUUCCCUUCUUAAGUGGCCACGAUCAUCAUGAGUCACAAUCAUUCCUUUUAAAGGAUCAUAUCUGUCUUCCUUGGAAACAGUCUCAGAGAGGCAAAUUAGCUCUUCCGGGGCCGUCCACCUGGGGAGUAAGAGAGCCUGGGUCUUCUGACUCCUUAAGUUAACCUCGUUUGUUCCUCACUUGUCAGAAGAGGGCUUUGGAUGAGACAGAGGUGCCUUAAGAACCGUUCUCUCUCUAACAGUCUGUGGUUCUAUGGUUUGCAGGGUCCAAGAGGAGGUUGCAAAAACAUCUCAAAGGGAACACUCCAGAUUGCACCUGUGCCGAAUGGAACGGAAGAAUUCCCUUUGAGGGAAUGUUGUUUUCCUGUGGACUUUUUAUAAGGCUGGAAACAAGAAGACAGAUUAUUUCCUUUUUAUGGGCGUGAAUAUGACAACUGAUGAAUCUAUGGACCAGGUGAAGCAGGGAUGGUCAAUAAAGCUUAUUUCUCAUGAUA